GGUUCCUUAUUCGUCAAAAUUAUUUUCAUCAAUUUACUUUUUUUGUAAAUGAUAGUAUGACUGGGUCAGGAUUUGGCAUUGUGAUUUACUUCAGUCACCAUCAAGUUUAAAUAAUUAUUAUAGAAAUUAUUUUUGGUAAAAAGUUAUAAAAUGGCUCCAUGGACGAGUUCAGCAACUCCAGAACAAGUAGAUACACUCCUCAACUUUCUGAACAUCGCGACCCUGCCCGCAAACAUCUGCGAAGUGUAGAAGGCAAGCAAGCAAGACGAAGUGUGCAACCUCCUAAAUGCUAUGGGCGAUUGCACAAAUACAGACAUGCAGGGGCAAAAAGUUUGGUUUAACCGAAAAAGCUGUUGCUGACUCCCGGUGGUCGGCUACAAUGACUGGAGGUGGGCCGGGAACAAGUUAAUACUCCACCUCCACCAUACUCCAAUAAUCUAGAUAGUGGGAAUUCUGAAGUAAUCUAGAUAUCUUAUAGCAGAAGCAUAUCGUUAUUUGGAGGAUUUUUAGCUAUAAACUUAUUCAUACAAAAACAAUGUAAAUGCACAUGUAAGAAACAAUUGUUUAACUUUAAAAUUAUUUGUGUCUCAAAUUAAUGUGCGUUUUAAUUUUGUACUGUCAGUAUUUGUAUGCUGUUAUUGUACUUACGCAUAUAAUGUUGAAUAUUGGAUUAUAUAAUAUAUAAAUAUAUCAGUGAAAUGUGUUUCUAUUGGACCACUUUUAUUUCUGUUUUUAUAAGAUUUUAUUCUAUUUAAAUGCUUUAACAUUUAAAGCUUG
Spodoptera litura is the source of this 777-nucleotide long non-coding RNA. RefSeq lists it as uncharacterized. Lineage: Eukaryota; Metazoa; Arthropoda; Insecta; Lepidoptera; Noctuidae. The record is from RefSeq and is a predicted model, not a curated record.